Molecule: ribosomal RNA, 407 nt
Filed under: uncultured bacterium
Lineage: Bacteria
Description: partial 16S ribosomal RNA
Rfam family: Bacterial small subunit ribosomal RNA
Source: RNAcentral
GACGAACGCUGGCGGCGUGCCUAAUACAUGCAAGUAGAACGCAGUUGCGAACGGGUGAGUCACGCGUAGGUACCUGCCUCAUAGCGGGGGAUACCUAUUUUACCCGUUAGCUAAUACCGCAUACUUUGGUCUGGCCCUCCGUUGGAUUAGCUAGUUGGUGAGGUAAAGGCUCACCAAGGCGAACAUACAUAGCCGACCUGAGAGGGUGAUCGGCCACAACGGGAAUGAGACACGGCCCAGACUCAUACGGGAGGCAGCAGUAGGGAAUCAUCGGCAAUGGACGGAAGUCUGACCGAGCAACGCCGCGGGAGUGAAGAAGGUUUUCGGAUCGUAAAGCUCUGUUGUUAGAGAAGCGGUAACUAAACAGAAAGGGACGGCUAACUACGUGCCAGCAGCCGCGGUAAUAC